This 645-nucleotide unclassified non-coding RNA is filed under the name Hevea brasiliensis (rubber tree). Lineage: Eukaryota; Viridiplantae; Streptophyta; Magnoliopsida; Malpighiales; Euphorbiaceae. The record is from RNAcentral.
GGGGAAGGGGGAGUACCUAGGAUUGAAUUCCUACCACAUGCAUUAUAUGGCUGGCACCUGACCACUAAAUUAGUAGCCUGGCAAAUGAGGAAGAUAUAUCUUAUUGCUCAUAGAAUGGAAAAAGCACGAUUUAAAUGGAUCAUGACUAUGAUGAUGUAUUAAUAAAAUCCUUGUUAAGCUAAAUAGGUGAGUUCUGUAGGAUAAUGAUUAGGCUAUGCUUUAUGAAGUUCAUGCUGAUUGGCAUAAGAAAACAUUUAUGCAUAACUGAGAUAAGAAUAUCUAAGAAUGAUGUGGAAGUAUAAUAAUGGACUAGAUAAUGGGAAAAUGGCGUGGCACCUAUUGAGAAUAAGUCAAGGGUGGAUCAAUUAAGAUGGUUUGAUCGUGUCCAACUUGUCUCAACAUGGAAAUAUGAGUAAGUUGAAGUAGUAGGAAUAAAGAAAGACAAGAAAAAGAUUGUUGGAGACUUGCAGUGAAGAAGGCAUUUCUCAUUGGGGUUCUAGUGAGGAUCAGGUCAGACAUAGGUCCUUCCCUGUGCUUUGCAAGGAGUUUCUUCUCUUAUUUUAACCUAUGACCUCCAAGACACGAUGAAGAGAUCUUAUUAAGCAACUCAAAGGGAAAAAAGGAGAGGAGAAGAAAGAAAGAAAC